This 266-nucleotide ribosomal RNA is filed under the name uncultured bacterium. Its description in RNAcentral is "partial 16S ribosomal RNA". It matches the Rfam family "Bacterial small subunit ribosomal RNA", at positions 1226 to 1500 of the family's 1533-position model. The record is from RNAcentral.
UACAAUGGCAGGUACAGAGGGAUGCUACCGGGCGACCGGAUGCGGAUCUCGAAAGCCUGUCCCAGUUCGGACUGGAGUCUGCAACCCGACUCCACGAAGUUGGAUUCGCUAGUAAUCGCGCAUCAGCCAUGGCGCGGUGAAUACGUUCCCGGGCCUUGUACACACCGCCCGUCAAGCCAUGGGAGCCGGGGGCGCCUGAAGUCCGGGACCGCGAGGACCGGCCUAGGGCGAAACUGGUAACUGGGGCUAAGUCGUAACAAGGUACC